UAGUAGAUACCUUGUGCCUGGAAGGUUCUUCUUACGAGGGACAUGGGAGUGAACAAACAGGUAAGGUCCCCUCCCCCCUGGAACUUGUAGUCCAGUGAACACAAUCAAUCCAUUUAGGACUUGAACAUUUGAAAUUGAGACUUCCCUGUACCUAUAAUUAUCAGAACUGUAUGAGAUCCUGAGGUGGAAAGAUGGUGACUUCUGUGGGCUUUUUUGCUCAAACACAAUUCUUUAAGAAAGAGACCUGCAUCUCGGGCUGCCCACCGCAGUGUGAGGAUGUGAGAAAGACCCAGGGACCUCACAGACCAUGUGAUGUCACAGAAGGCACAGGACUGCCAGGUGCAGUGGGUCACACUGUAAUCCCAGCACUUUGGGAGGCAAACAUGGGGGUGUCGCUUGAGGUCAGGAGUUCAAGACCAGCCUGAGCAACACAGCAAGACUCUGUCUCUGCAAAAAACCAAAAACCAAAACCACAGGGCGGGGAGGUCAGACCAGCUGCCUGGAAUCCCAGCCCAGACCCUCACCAGCAUGUGACCCAGGACGGGCCACGUGCUGUCUCCUCAGGAAGCCUCAAUUUUCUCAUCUGGAGACAGGGACAAUGAAUCCCUUCCAGGAUCACUGUGAAAAGACAGGUUGAGCAUCUCUAAUUCGCAAAUCUGAAAUCCGAAAUGCUCCCAAAUCUGAAACUUUCUGAGUGCGGACCUGAUGCCGUCUCGUUCUGUCCAGAUGAAGAUCUCUUCGAGUGGCUACUUGGAAUGCACUCCAGAGGCCCCUGACAUUGAUUCUUCUCUAGACUCAAACUAACCUAGUUACAUGUCCGCCCUCGAACCAGCGGCUGCAGCCGAAGCAAUUUAUGGACAUGUCUCCUCAUGGUUUCAAGACAGCUGCUGUGGCUCCAGGCAUCACACUGGGACAUGAUAAAAUCAAGCAAAGAGGAGGAGGGCAUUUUUUCCCCUGUGUCUCCUUUCAUGAUGGAGAAAAUUGUUCCCAAAUUUCCCCCCUGCAGAUCUGCAGACUUCUUAUUGGCCAAGAUGGCGUUACAUCUAUAAUUCCAAACCAGUCACUGAUGGAGGAAUGAGAAUGACUGCAGUUGGCUUGGACCUAUAACUCACUCUGAAGCCGGGGCGAGGAAUAGCCACCGUCCCUGAGCUCCUGAGUAGAUGCACAACCAACAAAACUGAAUCCCGUCAGCGAAGGAGUCAUGGGUGGGCAACCCGUGCUGUGUCUACCAUAAGCACAACUCCUGGUGCUCAUGAGGUGCCCCCAAAGGCUGGCAUUUGGCAAGCUCAAGACUGGGAGUCCACACAGUGCUCCAGGUGGGAGGAUCACAACCGCGAUUGGCCAGGGAGUCCCUCUGGGUGCCAGACCCCUGUAUGCAAAGCCCCACUCAGCAUCUCCACUUGAUUGGCUUAUGGGAACCUCAAAUCCAACACACUAUAUUUGAACUCAUCAUAUUUCCUCCCCACUGGCCUCCUCUGUUGGUACCCACCUUGCUCAAGCCAGAAGCUGGCUGGUCCUCAGGAGUCCCUGCUUUCCUUCCCCAUCUGUGCCCACGUCUCUCCAGCUCUGCCAUCAUCUUCCACCUGGACACCAACCAAGCCCCCGCUCUCCCUGCUGCUGUGUGGGCAUCAACAGCCUAUGCUGUUCCCUCUGAACGGAACUCUUCCCGCUCCUGUUUCCCUGUCACCUUGCUCAGGAAAGCUCUUCUGAUCCCCCCAAGUUGAAUCCCUCAUUACAAACCUCACAUCCUGACAUACAUCUCUCCAUUGCCCUGAUCAUACUUCUUAUUUACCUGUGUGAUUAUUUCACUCAUGUCUCACCCCACCAGGUUGCAGCUCCAUGAGGGUGGGAAUUGGGUCUGUUUUGUUCACUGAUAACCUUCAGUGCCUGACACAUAGUAGGGCCUCAAUUUUAUUCCUGAAUCCCAUAAAUGAAUAAAUUCAUCCCCUGCCCUGUGGCCAGGGAGAUCACUCUAAGAAGCAAAUCUAAUCACUCCCUCUCCUGCCAUAAGCCUUCCAUGGCUCCCCUUUACCCACAGGACAAAGUCUAAAGGGCUUAACCUGGCUCUUUCAGGCUCCUCAAAGUGGAUUCUGCCACCUCUCCAGCCCCAUCUCACCUGCCCCAUUGUCCUUUACGGUCCAGCCACCCUCUACUCCUUUAGGUGUCUCAAAGUCUGCAUGUUCUCUCCUAUCCCUGGAUUUGCCUAUAUGCUAUGUUUCUCCCGGAAACUUUGUCUCAAAAAAUCUUCAUUCUCAUUGCCAAGGCUUUAAAAUUUGCCUCUUUUGGGGAAGGUUUAGUUCUGUAAGCUCAUUCUGGAAAUCUGGGUUCCUUCUAUCUAGCUGUUGUCAUCCUCAGUCCAUAGCUUCCAGUCAAGUCCAAAACAGCUGCUAUAGCUUCUCCGUCACAUCUACGUUCCAGGCAGUGGGGAGAGAGAAAGGGUCAUUCCUCUUAAGGGCAUGACUCAGAAGCAGUGCUAUCACUUCUACUCAAUCCCAUUGGCUGGAGCUCAGUCAUAUGACCAUGCCUAACUGCAAAGGAGGCCGGGAAAUAGAAUCACUAUCUGCCGAUUAUGUUAGCAUGUUUCCCACUAAUGCUCCAAAAUUCUCUCAGUAUGAGAAAAAAGCUGAUGGAUGUUGGUGGACACUGAUGGUCCUGCCACACUCACCCCCACAGUGCCAG
Molecule: long non-coding RNA, 2679 nt
Filed under: Homo sapiens (human)
Lineage: Eukaryota; Metazoa; Chordata; Mammalia; Primates; Hominidae
Description: HSALNT0401681
Source: RNAcentral